GCCAAGACUGCCGAAUACGUCUCGAGCUCCAUCACGAGUAAGUGCCGUCUGAUCUCCGGGCGGAGACCCCACUGGAAUUUCCUGGCCUUUCGGCCCUCAUCCAUCAAUGUCUCCGGGGCGUGUCGGCCCAGCUCCAGGAACUUACGAGCAUAGUCCGACACUGUCAUAUUUCCCUGGACCAAUUGAGCAAACUCCAUCUCCUUUAGAUGUUGGAUGUGUUUAGGGAGAUACUCUGCAUGGAAGGCCGCC
Molecule: long non-coding RNA, 249 nt
Filed under: Carica papaya (papaya)
Lineage: Eukaryota; Viridiplantae; Streptophyta; Magnoliopsida; Brassicales; Caricaceae
Description: long non-coding RNA (CPAP_LNC002636)
Source: RNAcentral